This 73-nucleotide transfer RNA is filed under the name Ixodes scapularis (black-legged tick). It matches the Rfam family "tRNA". From Rfam's summary of the family: Transfer RNA (tRNA) molecules are approximately 80 nucleotides in length. Lineage: Eukaryota; Metazoa; Arthropoda; Arachnida; Ixodida; Ixodidae. The record is from Rfam by way of RNAcentral.
CCCUGGUUAGCUCAGUUGGUAGAGUGCUCCCCUGAGAAUGGAGAGGUCCCGGGCUCGAUACCCGGAUCAGGCG